GACGAACGCUGGCGGCGUGCUUAACACAUGCAAGUCGAACGGAAAGGCCCUGCUUUUGUGGGGUGCUCGAGUGGCGAACGGGUGAGUAACACGUGAGUAACCUGCCCUUGACUUUGGGAUAACUUCAGGAAACUGGGGCUAAUACCGGAUAGGAGCUCCUGCUGCAUGGUGGGGGUUGGAAAGUUUCGGCGGUUGGGGAUGGACUCGCGGCUUAUCAGCUUGUUGGUGGGGUAGUGGCUUACCAAGGCUUUGACGGGUAGCCGGCCUGAGAGGGUGACCGGCCACAUUGGGACUGCGAUACGGCCCAGACUCCUACGGGAGGCAGCAGUGGGGAAUAUUGCACAAUGGGCGGAAGCCUGAUGCAGCAACGCCGCGUGCGGGAUGACGGCCUUCGGGUUGUAAACCGCUUUCGCCUGUGACGAAGCGUGAGUGACGGUACUGGGUAAAGAAGCACCGGCUAACUACGUG
Molecule: ribosomal RNA, 468 nt
Filed under: uncultured bacterium
Lineage: Bacteria
Description: partial 16S ribosomal RNA
Rfam family: Bacterial small subunit ribosomal RNA
Source: RNAcentral